GGCCGCAAGGUUGAAACUCAAAGGAAUUGACGGGGGCCCGCACAAGCGGUGGAGCAUGUGGUUUAAUUCGACGCAACGCGAAGAACCUUACCUACCCUUGACAUCCUGCGAAUCUGGCUGAGAGGCUGGAGUGCCGAAAGGAACGCAGAGACAGGUGCUGCAUGGCUGUCGUCAGCUCGUGUUGUGAGAUGUUGGGUUAAGUCCCGUAACGAGCGCAACCCUUGUCCUUAGUUACCAGCAAGUAAAGUUGGGGACUCUAAGGAGACUGCCGGUGAUGAACCGGAGGAAGGCGGGGACGACGUCAAGUCAUCAUGGCCUUUAUGGGUAGGGCUACACACGUGCUACAAUGGGGCGUACAGAGAGUCGCGAACCUGCGAAGGGGAGCCAAUCUCAUAAAGCGUCUCGUAGUCCGGAUUGGAGUCUGCAACUCGACUCCAUGAAGUUGGAAUCGCUAGUAAUCGCGAAUCAGCAUUGUCGCGGUGAAUACGUUCCCGGGCCUUGUACACACCGCCCGUCACGUCAUGGGAGUGGAUGGUACCAGAAGCGGGUAGUUUAACCUUCGGGGAGACGCUUGCCACGGUAUGAUUCAUGACUGGGACG
This 600-nucleotide ribosomal RNA is filed under the name uncultured bacterium. RNAcentral describes it as "bacterial SSU rRNA". It matches the Rfam family "Bacterial small subunit ribosomal RNA", at positions 884 to 1482 of the family's 1533-position model. The record is from RNAcentral.